CAAUAGCAUCUUGUUAAGUUGUUGCGGUUAAAACGCUCGUAGUCAGAGCCGGUGGCACGCCGUGCAAAGCCUCGCCCUUGCGCGUGAGGCCCUUCUGGUCCUGUCCGUCUCUCCCUCCCCGCGGGCUGAUGUAAGGUUCGAUGUGACCCUGUUUAAGCGGCCCCAUAAAGGAUGGUCGUCAGGGGCAGUUAAGAAGGUAUUAGAUAAAACUGUGAGAUAAGGGGAAAGGCGGGUUUAAACAGGCACUGGUUUCGCACUAAUAGUAACCCUUGGGGUGGCCAUGGCGUGCUGCCCAUAGGGGCGAGAUCGGAACACCCCGUACCGGUUGAAUCCGGUCGCGGGCUCUCUCGCCCCACAUCACUUUGAAUAAAUUAGCGCGCUCAAAGCAGGUCUACAACAUAUAUUGCAAGGACCUUUUCCACGAAUACUUCAGCAAAGAACGAACGAACAGGCCCACUGUUCUUGGUCGCAGUAAGGGAAUGAUUAAUAGGGGAGAUCGGGGCCAACCACAUGGCGGGGGUAGGGGUGAAAUCCGUUGAUCCUCGCUAGGUGAACUAAAGCGAAAGCAGUUGGCAAGUACUCUUUCUUUGAUCAAGAACGAAAGUCUGGGGAUCGAAGAUGAUCAGAUACCAUCGUAGUCCAGACCCUAAAUGUUGUCGACCAUGGAUGUGACACAGUCCAUCCCGACCCGCCACGCACCUUAUGAGAAAUCAGAAGUGUAUGGACUCCGGGGGGAGUAUGGUCGCAAGACUGAAACUUAAAGGAAUUGACGGAAGAGCACACAAGGAGUGGAGCCUGCGGCUUAAUUUGACUCAACACGGGACAACUCAUUAUGGCAAGAAAGGGACAUGAGGGUCAGGCGAGCAGGCCUUAUCCGAUUCCCUUAGUGGUGGUGCAUGGUCGUUCUUAGUUCGUGGAGUGAUUUGUCUGGUCUAUUCCGCUAACGAGCGAGAACCCGUUUUCCUACUGUUGGGUCCGCCCAGCUCGCCCGUUGAACGGAGGGGUCCAUGGGAUCUCCGCGGGGUAGUAAUACCCAGCGGGGAGCCCGUCAAUGGGUCCCCGAGGGACGUGGGCUGCAAAAUAGCUGGGACGGCUGUCCUUGGGGAACCAACGCCGUUAAGGUGUUGUAAGCGGGUCAAUAACAGGUCAGUGAUGCCCUUAGAUGCCAUAGGCCGCACGCGCGCUACAAUGGUGGGGUAACCGGGCGAACCUGUGCCGUAAGGCGGCGGGGAACCCUGGGAAAACCCUCCUCGUCUGGGACCAUCGGGUGUAACCACCCUUUGCGAACAAGGAAUUUCUAGUAACCGUGGGUCACUAGCCCACGGUGAUUUCGUCCCUGCUCUUUGUACACACCGCCCGUCGCUCCUACCGAUUGGAUUGUCUGGUGAGGCUCAUGGAGCUGCCCGGUUCACUUUAUGGGUUGGCCUUAGUGUGGCCUCCCUUGGGUUCUGAGGUGACGAAGUGGGUCAAACCUCGCGGUCUAGAGGAAGGAGAAGUCGUA
Molecule: ribosomal RNA, 1501 nt
Filed under: Dianema inconspicuum
Lineage: Eukaryota; Evosea; Eumycetozoa; Trichiida; Dianemataceae
Description: partial 18S ribosomal RNA
Rfam family: Eukaryotic small subunit ribosomal RNA
Source: RNAcentral